This 253-nucleotide unclassified non-coding RNA is filed under the name uncultured Halomonadaceae bacterium. RNAcentral's name for it is "contains 16S-23S intergenic spacer region". It matches the Rfam family "Bacterial small subunit ribosomal RNA", at positions 524 to 776 of the family's 1533-position model. The record is from RNAcentral. Lineage: Bacteria; Pseudomonadati; Pseudomonadota; Gammaproteobacteria; Oceanospirillales; Halomonadaceae.
UACGGAGGGUGCAAGCGUUAAUCGGAAUUACUGGGCGUAAAGCGCGCGUAGGCGGCUUGAUAAGCCGGUUGUGAAAGCCCCGGGCUCAACCUGGGAACGGCAAUCGGAACUGUUUGGCUAGAGUGCAGGUGAGGUAGGUAGAAUUCCCGGUGUAGCGGUGAAAUGCGUAGAGAUCUGGAGGAAUACCAGUGGCGAAGGCGGCCUUCUGUACUGACACUGACGCUGAGGUGCGAAAGCGUGGGUAUCAAACAGG